This 253-nucleotide ribosomal RNA is filed under the name uncultured bacterium. RNAcentral describes it as "partial 16S ribosomal RNA". It matches the Rfam family "Bacterial small subunit ribosomal RNA", at positions 524 to 776 of the family's 1533-position model. The record is from RNAcentral.
UACGAAGGGUGCAAGCGUUAUUCGGAAUAAUUGGGCGUAAAGGGUGCGUAGGCGGCGCAUUAAGUCAACUGUUAAAUACCUCAGCCUAACUGGGGACCGGCAGUAGAUACUGGUGUGCUUGAGGAUGGAAGAGAGAAGUGGAAUUCUUGGAGUAGCGGUAAAAUGCGUAGAUCUCAAGAGGAACACCGAUGGCGAAGGCAGCUUCUUGGUCCAUUUCUGACGCUGAUGCACGAAAGCGUGGGGAGCAAACAGG